Long non-coding RNA from Diospyros lotus (date-plum), 403 nucleotides. RefSeq lists it as uncharacterized. Lineage: Eukaryota; Viridiplantae; Streptophyta; Magnoliopsida; Ericales; Ebenaceae. The transcript has 3 exons. The record is from RefSeq and is a predicted model, not a curated record.
UGGCUGCCUCGUGAGGCGGCCUGCCGGCGAAGACAAUGUCGUGGGUCUUGAGGAACUGCUCGGCGGCUUCCGGUGACGAGACGACGAUGUUAGGGACGAAGCCGAAGCGCAGGUACAUGAUGGGGCCGUGUUUCUUGGCCAGCCGGUGCAGAUCCUGGUGUGGAAGCUUCCCCAACAAGUGAAAAUGGCCCAGAAUUGGGAGAGGUUUUGGACCUGGAGGCAAUCUGUUGUUCUUCUUGUUCCGCCUGAGCCAGGCUGCUGCUUGCAGGAGGUAGGCAAGUGCAAGCACUGCCACUGCCAGAGCUAUUCCCCAUGACCAUCCCAUAGCUGGAUUCAUCUAUAUAUGGUUUGAUAUAUCACUCUUCGAUCAGUACUAGUAACUGAUGAGGGUGUUCGAUCGAAG